This 254-nucleotide ribosomal RNA is filed under the name uncultured bacterium. RNAcentral's name for it is "partial 16S ribosomal RNA". It matches the Rfam family "Bacterial small subunit ribosomal RNA", at positions 524 to 776 of the family's 1533-position model. The record is from RNAcentral.
CACGUAGGGGGCGAGCGUUGUCCGGAUUUAUUGGGCGUAAAGAGCUCGUAGGCGGUUUUGUAAGUCGGGUGUGAAAACUCUAGGCUCAACCUAGAGACGCCACCCGAUACUGCGAUGACUAGUGUCCGGUAGGGGAGUGUGGAAUUCCUGGUGUAGCGGUGAAAUGCGCAGAUAUCAGGAGGAACACCAACGGCGAAGGCAGCACUCUGGGCCGGAACUGACGCUGAGGAGCGAAAGCGUGGGUAGCGAACAGG